UACGAAGGGGGCUAGCGUUGCUCGGAAUCACUGGGCGUAAAGGGUGCGUAGGCGGCGGGGCAAGUCUGAUGUGAAAUCCCGGGGCUCAACCCCGGAACUGCAUUGGAUACUGCCUUGCUUGAGUACUGGAGAGGGAACUGGAAUUUACGGUGUAGCAGUGAAAUGCGUAGAUAUCGUAAGGAAGGCCAGUGGCGAAGGCGAGUUCCUGGACAGUUACUGACGCUGAGGCACGAAGGCCAGGGGAGCAAACGGG
Molecule: ribosomal RNA, 253 nt
Filed under: uncultured bacterium
Lineage: Bacteria
Description: partial 16S ribosomal RNA
Rfam family: Bacterial small subunit ribosomal RNA
Source: RNAcentral